Molecule: RNA transcript, 5872 nt
Organism: Equus caballus (horse)
Lineage: Eukaryota; Metazoa; Chordata; Mammalia; Perissodactyla; Equidae
Gene: PPP1R12A
Gene name: protein phosphatase 1 regulatory subunit 12A
Source: RefSeq, a predicted model, not a curated record
GAUUGGCCGCCGGUGACGGGUGGCCGGGCCGGGGGCGGGAGGGCUUCUGUGGUAGGAAGGGAGGUCCGCUCGGCCGGGCGCGCCGCCCCAGUGCUCUGUGGGAUACUGGAAGUCUCGAGCGUCUCCUCCCGGUUCCCAGCCCUCCUCUGGCCCGCACUCAUAGAAACAGUCACACACCCCCUGCCUCCCCUCUCUUCCCUCUCCGCCUCCCCCUUCCCCCCUCGCGAUAAGAAGACCCGGCGGCAGGAGAGGGGAUGAAGAUGGCGGACGCGAAGCAGAAGCGGAACGAGCAGCUGAAGCGCUGGAUCGGCUCCGAGACGGACCUCGAGCCUCCCGUGGUGAAGCGCCAGAAGACCAAGGUGAAGUUCGACGAUGGCGCCGUCUUCCUGGCUGCUUGCUCCAGUGGCGACACGGACGAGGUCCUCAAGCUGCUGCACCGCGGCGCCGACAUCAAUUACGCCAAUGUGGACGGACUCACCGCCCUGCACCAGGCUUGCAUUGAUGACAAUGUUGAUAUGGUGAAGUUUCUGGUAGAAAAUGGAGCAAAUAUUAAUCAACCUGAUAAUGAAGGCUGGAUACCACUACAUGCAGCUGCUUCCUGUGGAUAUCUCGAUAUUGCAGAGUUUUUGAUUGGUCAAGGAGCACACGUAGGAGCUGUCAACAGUGAAGGAGACACACCUUUAGAUAUUGCUGAGGAGGAGGCAAUGGAAGAGCUACUUCAAAAUGAAGUUAAUCGGCAAGGGGUUGAUAUAGAAGCAGCUCGAAAGGAAGAAGAACGAAUAAUGCUUAGAGAUGCAAGACAAUGGCUAAACAGUGGUCACAUAAAUGAUGUCCGGCAUGCAAAAUCUGGAGGGACAGCCCUGCACGUUGCAGCUGCUAAAGGCUAUACAGAAGUUUUAAAACUUUUAAUACAGGCAGGCUAUGAUGUUAAUAUUAAAGAUUAUGAUGGCUGGACACCUCUUCAUGCUGCAGCUCACUGGGGUAAAGAAGAAGCAUGUCGAAUUUUAGUGGACAAUCUGUGUGAUAUGGAGAUGGUCAACAAAGUGGGCCAGACAGCCUUUGAUGUGGCAGAUGAAGACAUUUUAGGAUAUUUAGAAGAAUUGCAAAAGAAACAAAAUCUGCUCCAUAGUGAAAAACGAGAGAAGAAAUCUCCACUCAUUGAAUCAACAGCCAAUAUGGAGAAUAAUCAGUCACAGAAGACCUUUAAAAACAAAGAGACAUUGAUUAUUGAGUCAGAGAAAAAUGCAUCCCGUAUUGAAUCUCUGGAACAAGAAAAGGUUGAUGAUGAAGAAGAAGGAAAGAAAGAUGAAUCUAGCUGCUCUAGUGAAGAAGAUGAGGAAGAUGACUCAGAGUCAGAAGCUGAAACAGAUAAGACAAAACCCAUGGCUUCUGUAACUAAUGCCAAUACUUCUAGUACACAAGCAGCUCCUGUGGCUGUUACAACACCUACUGUGUCAUCGGGUCAGGCAACACCUACUUCACCUAUUAAAAAGUUUCCAACCUCAGCUACAAAAGUUUCUCCCAAAGAAGAAGAGAGAAAAGACGAGUCUCCUGCAUCUUGGAGGUUAGGACUUAGAAAGACAGGCAGUUACGGUGCACUUGCAGAAAUCACAGCGUCUAAAGAGGCUCAGAAAGAAAAAGACACUGCAGGUGUUAUGCGUUCAGCUUCAAGUCCCAGACUUUCCUCCUCUUUGGAUAAUAAAGAAAAGGAGAAAGAUAGUAAGGGAACUAGGCUUGCGUAUGUUGCACCUACAAUACCCAGACGACUAGCCAGUACAUCUGACAUCGAAGAGAAAGAAAACAGAGACUCUUCAAGUUUGCGAAUAAGUAGUUCGUAUACAAGAAGAAAAUGGGAAGAUGAUCUCAAAAAAAAUAGCUCAAUUAAUGAAGGAUCAACUUAUCAUAAAAGUUGCUCCUUCGGUAGAAGACAUAAUGAUUUGAUUAGUUCUAGUGUUCCAAGCACCACAUCAACACCAACAGUUACCUCUGCAGCUGGGCUUCAGAAAAGCCUGCUUUCCAGCACAAGCACUACUACAAAGAUUACAACGGGUUCUUCCUCAGCAGGCACACAAAGCAGUACCUCAAAUCGUUUGUGGGCUGAGGAUAGUGCUGAAAAAGAAAAGGACAGUGUUCCUACGGCAGUGACCAUUCCUGUUGCUCCAACUGUUGUAAAUGCUGCAGCCUCUACCACAACCCUGACUACAACUACUGCUGGCACUGUCUCCUCCACAUCAGAGGUCAGGGAGAGACGCAGAUCAUACCUCACUCCUGUUAGAGAUGAAGAGUCUGAAUCCCAAAGAAAAGCAAGAUCUAGACAAGCAAGGCAGUCGAGAAGAUCAACACAGGGGGUGACAUUGACUGAUCUUCAGGAAGCUGAAAAAACAAUAGGAAGAAGUCGUUCUACCCGAACCAGAGAACAAGAAAAUGAAGAAAAAGAAAAAGAGGAAAAAGAAAAACAGGAUAAAGAGAAGCAAGAAGAAAAGAAGGAGUCAGAAACAUCUAGAGAAGAUGAAUAUAAGCAAAAGUACUCCAGAACGUAUGAUGAGACUUACCAGCGUUACAGACCAGCAUCAACUUCAAGUUCAACUACUCCAUCCUCUUCACUUUCUACCAUGAGCAGUUCACUCCAUGCUUCAAGUCAACUAAACAGGCCAAAUAGUCUUGUAGGUAUAACAUCUGCUUACUCCAGAGGAUUAACAAAAGAAAACGAAAGAGAGGGAGAAAAGAAAGAAGAGGAAAAAGAAGGAGAGGAUAAAUCACAGCCUAAAUCAAUCCGAGAGCGACGGCGACCAAGAGAGAAAAGAAGAUCUACAGGAGUUUCGUUUUGGACACAAGAUAGUGAUGAAAAUGAACAAGAUCAACAAUCAGAUACAGAAGAAGGAUCCAAUAAGAAAGAAACUCAGACGGAUUCCAUUUCUAGAUAUGAAACCACUUCCACGUCAGCUGGUGAUCGCUAUGAUUCCUUGCUGGGUCGCUCUGGAUCCUACGGUUACUUAGAAGAAAGGAAACCUCACGGUAGCAGGCUAGAGAGGGAUGACUCAACUGACUUUAAAAAGCUUUAUGAACAAAUUCUAGCUGAAAAUGAAAAGCUGAAAGCACAGCUACAUGAUACAAAUAUGGAACUGACAGAUCUUAAAUUGCAAUUAGAAAAGGCCACCCAGAGACAAGAAAGAUUUGCUGAUAGGUCACUAUUGGAAAUGGAGAAAAGGGUGACCGGCAAGAGUCAGUAUCUUCUGGGCGGAACGAAGAGCUCUAGAAAGAAGAAUAUCUGAAAUGGAAGAAGAGCUCAAAAACCUGCACCAAAUAAAGCAAAUUCAAACUCUGAGAGAGUUAAAUGAGCGACUGCUGACUGAGAAUAGGGCCUUGACAAGAGUGGUAGCCAAGCGCUCAGGGUUCUGUAGGCAACUGCAGUCUGUGCACCUAUAAUUUGUAGUUUCAUCCUUCUUCUUGGUAGAGCCAGAUGUUACCAGACCUAAAAGCAGACAACCAGAGGCUAAAGGAUGAAAAUGGGGCCUUGAUCAGAGUUAUAAGCAAACUUUCCAAAUAGAAAAAAAAAGCAGCAAGUAAUGGAAUUGCACACGUUAGUAACCCAGCGGACCAUAAUUGACAGUCACUGGAAGCCUGGGAAGAAUCCUUGGAGACUGUCAUUUUCGGAUAUCCUGCCAAAUGCCCUCUUAUCUAGGAGUUUUGUUUUGUUUAAUUAUCUGGGUUUUUUUUUUUCUUGUAUCAAGACCAUUGUUUCAUGUUAAUGCAGCUGCUGAGAAGAUUUUUUUUUUAAUGACUGAGAAAACUUGUUUACAGCUCCAGCAUAUAAGGAAAGUGUUCAAGGCCAGAUAUGCCUCAGAUAUUUAACCAGUAAGCCUUAGUUGUACAUAAAUACUUUUGUGUCAACAAAAACUUUCAGCUUUCACAGAAGACAGUUAUUCAACUUUUUUUUGAUGUGCCACAGUUUCCAGUUUUUCAAUAUUUAAUUUGUUUUGCUUUCCAUCUAAGUUUGGGUUUGUAUUUUUCCUUCUAACUCUCCAUGUGGCAGCCUCUGCUAUGUUUUCACAGCUCUCUCCUUUACAGAAAAGAACACUUACCCUUCUGAGGUCAUUGUCGUGCGUCAGGCUGAUGCUGUGUCGUCUCCCACCUGGAACCGAAUUGCUUGGUGGAACAUUGCUUUCACUGUUUGUGCAAUAUGCAUUUAUUUCUUAUAUGAAUGCUUUAAAGUCAAUGGAGAUUAGAUUCUUUUAAGUCCUAUUUUCUGCCUUCAUUGGUCACUUUCUUGUUUCUGUUUGUUUUUUAUUAUUGUAGAAUGAGAUGUUAGAUUCUGUAACCUUCACAUUCAUUGUAGCAGGUACUGAGUGAUGCUGUACAUAUAAAUAAGUGUAUUGUUUUGAUUUUUAGACCACCACAUGGCAUGCUUGACUAUUUUCUCAAUUCAACAAAGUAGGCUACUCCAUAAUAGUGUUAAAAACGAAAUUUGCUAACAAUGUGAUAUAAAGACUUUAAAAGUAACACAUUCUGUGGAGCCCUAUCUUUACAAAAGUUUUCUACUGUAAAGUGCUUUUACUUUUACUUUUAGUUUUUGUUUGAUAGUAUUCAACCAUAAUUAAAGUUGCAUAAGAUAAUUGCUUCACAUUUCACAUACCUAAUAUUUAUCUGAGUGCUGUCUAAAACUGUUGUGCUAGCCAAAGUGAUGCUAUGAAAUCAUUUGCAGACUUAACCCGUGAGUUAACGUUAAAUGCACUGUUAUUGCCAUGUGAAGAGGCAUUGACUUUGAUAUCACCAUCAUGUUCAGACCAUUUUAUACAUUUCAGUGGCCUUUUUUUAAACAAAAAAGCAAAACCAAGUACAUAGUGAAGACAGCUUUUAUUUGGACAAAUAGCUUUUAUAUUUUCAUUAAACCAUGCAAAAAAUAUUAUACCUUUCUGGCACAUGACCGUGUCCUUAACCACUGAACAGUCCAGCCAUUUGGGCAAAUUGUACAUUGCAAAGCUUACAGCAGCCGAGUGUAUUAUUGAUUGUAUUGUGUACUAUAUUAAAUGUGAAUUUGUACCCCUUCAUUUUAAAAGGUCAUUGUGUUCUACUGCCUAUUUUAGAUUACUUUGGGGUUGGGAAAGGGUGUUUUGGUAAGCAGGAUUUUAAGUCCUCUCUCGAUUGGUUUUAUGAAGAUAUAAGGUUAUGCUCUUACUACCAAGCUCAGGAUUCUUGAUUUUUAAAGGUACAAGGAUAGUUGUGGGAAUUUUAUUUUUGGUUAUAUUUGAACUGUAUGAGUGGUGGGUCUGAAUAUAGAGAAUUUCCAUGGUCUUAUGUGGACAUAAAAUAUACAGAUAAUUGAUCAGUUUGAGUGACUGCAACACCUUCUGGUUGCACAACAGUUAGGCAUGCUAAGGAUUAUAUUUGUGAAGUUUGGAUGCCUGUGAAGAAUGAUUAAAUACAUGUUUCUAAUAUUUUAGUGUUUUGUAUUUAGGUUAUUUAUUCUUUGUAUCUAAAACUGAACAGCUACUGUGCUAUAUUGAUUUUAUUGGUAGUAUUGAGCAGACCUUGUUUCUGCAUGAAACUAGUUGCAAAACCCACUAUUUUGGAAAUAAAAAUGUAUUUUGACAUAUACAAAUAAAAUGAAUAAAACUAUUUUAAAUGUGUGAACUUUUACUGAAGACAUUUUAAAUUUUGUUCUGAGAUAUUUAAAUUCUGCAUGGGUAUUUUUUUCACUAAUUGCUUUAGCUGGAUUCCAAUUUGAAUAAUUUUUGAAAUUGUAAUAUUGUGAUAAUUUGCACAACAUUGUACAUGCACAUCUGUAAAUGCAAUCUUAAUUGCCAUAUUUAUGCAAUCUGUGUAUCAAUUUGGACAAAUGUUUAUAUAUUUUACAUAAAGCUAUGUGUAUGCA